Molecule: unclassified non-coding RNA, 381 nt
Filed under: soil metagenome
Description: partial contains 5.8S ribosomal RNA, internal transcribed spacer 2, and large subunit ribosomal RNA
Rfam family: 5.8S ribosomal RNA (bases 1-120)
Source: RNAcentral
GAUGAAGAACGCAGCGAAAUGCGAUAAGUAAUGUGAAUUGCAGAAUUCAGUGAAUCAUCGAAUCUUUGAACGCACCUUGCGCUCCUUGGUAUUCUGAGGAGCAUGCCUGUUUGAGUGUCAUUUAAUUCUCAAACUUUACCUAGUUUGCAAAAACUAGAUCAGGCUUGGAGUCUGGAAGUUGCUGGCUUUUUUUUUAAGCUAGCUCUUCUAAAAUAUAUUAGCAGAAUUAUUGCUACUCAAUAUGGUAUGAUAAUUAUCUAUACCGUUGAAAGUAAGCUUUCUGAUUUUGCUUCUAAUUGUCUACCAAGACAACCUUGAUACCUUUGACCUCAAAUCAGGUAGGACUACCCGCUGAACUUAAGCAUAUCAAUAAGCGGAGGA